Non-coding RNA from Phascolarctos cinereus (koala), 510 nucleotides. The record is from RefSeq and is a predicted model, not a curated record. Lineage: Eukaryota; Metazoa; Chordata; Mammalia; Diprotodontia; Phascolarctidae.
GUUUGCCUCCUCUAUGCAUCAAUGUAAGUCAAGAAAAACAGAUGCAACAGAUGGGAAGAAAAAUGCAAGAGUUUGUACCCACAAGAAGGGAGCUGAUACUUUGGGAUCUUCUCUGUGAAGGACACACAGACAACAUUAUUUGCCAUUCCAUUCUGAGUUCCUGAAGGAAUUCCUCACCUCUCAGAUCAUCAACUAUCACCCAUUUGGAUCUAUUCAACAUGUUUGCAUGAUUUUCUCCAGCUUCUUUCAGCAGUGUGUGAAAAGAGUGAAGCCAGGGAAUGGUUUUCAGGGUCAUCUGUACAUCUGAAUGUUGAGAGCCAGAAUUCUUUCAAUAAAAUGUCCUCUGAGUACUUAGCAGGGUUCAGUGUCCUGAGAAAAUUCAUAAAACCAGGAACUUCACUCGUGAGAUGUGAAAAUGGAUCUUCUCUGUGAAGUACACAUAGACACCAUUAUUUGCCAUCUCCAAUGUCAAUUUGUGAAGGAAUUCCUCACCUCUCAGAUCAUCUACUG